GACGAACGCUGGCGGCGUGCUUAACACAUGCCAGUCGAACGAAGAGCGAUGGAAGCUUGCUUCUAUCAAUCUUAGUGGCGAACGGGUGAGUAACGCGUAAUCAACCUGCCCUUCAGAGGGGGACAACAGUUGGAAACGACUGCUAAUACCGCAUACGAUCUAAUCUCGGCAUCGAGGAUGGAUGAAAGGUGGCCUCUACAUGUAAGCUAUCACUGAAGGAGGGGAUUGCGUCUGAUUAGCUAGUUGGAGGGGUAACGGCCCACCAAGGCGAUGAUCAGUAGCCGGUCUGAGAGGAUGAACGGCCACAUUGGGACUGAGACACGGCCCAGACUCCUACGGGAGGCAGCAGUGGGGAAUCUUCCGCAAUGGACGAAAGUCUGACGGAGCAACGCCGCGUGAGCGAUGACGGCCUUCGGGUUGUAAAGCUCUGUUAAUCGGGACGAAAGGCCUUCUUGCGAAUAGUGAGAAGGAUUGACGGUACCGGAAUAGAAAGCCACGGCUAACUACGUG
Molecule: ribosomal RNA, 510 nt
Filed under: uncultured bacterium
Lineage: Bacteria
Description: partial 16S ribosomal RNA
Rfam family: Bacterial small subunit ribosomal RNA
Source: RNAcentral